Molecule: ribosomal RNA, 468 nt
Filed under: uncultured bacterium
Lineage: Bacteria
Description: partial 16S ribosomal RNA
Rfam family: Bacterial small subunit ribosomal RNA
Source: RNAcentral
GACGAACGCUGGCGGCGUGCUUAACACAUGCAAGUCGAACGGAAAGGCCCUGCUUUUGUGGGGUGCUCGAGUGGCGAACGGGUGAGUAACACGUGAGUAACCUGCCCUUGACUUUGGGAUAAAUUCAGGAAACUGGGGCUAAUACCGGAUAGGAGCUCCUGCUGCAUGGUGGGGGUUGGAAAGUUUCGGCGGUUGGGGAUGGACUCGCGGCUUAUCAGCUUGUUGGUGGGGUAGUGGCUUACCAAGGCUUUGACGGGUAGCCGGCCUGAGAGGGUGACCGGCCACAUUGGGACUGAGAUACGGCUCAGACUCCUACGGGAGGCAGCAGUGGGGAAUAUUGCACAAUGGGCGGAAGCCUGAUGCAGCAACGCCGCGUGCGGGAUGACGGCCUUCGGGUUGUAAACCGCUUUCGCCUGUGACGAAGCGUGAGUGACGGUAAUGGGUAAAGAAGCACCGGCUAACUACGUG